This is an RNA transcript of Triticum dicoccoides, 6928 nucleotides long. RefSeq lists it as uncharacterized. The record is from RefSeq and is a predicted model, not a curated record. The transcript has 16 exons. Lineage: Eukaryota; Viridiplantae; Streptophyta; Magnoliopsida; Poales; Poaceae.
AACUAUAACAAAGACUUCUUUCCUACUAUUUUUUACCUGCAUCUAUUCAUGUAUAUGCUAGCUCAAACAUCUUUUUCGCCGUAGUGGUUUGUUAUUAGUUGAUACCAAGUACCUAUUCUCCCUUUUUGCCUUUAAUCUUCUGCUCUAGAUACAUUUGUAUUAACUUUGAAAAAAACAAAUGACAUGAAUUAGAUUAAGCUAAUCAACUUCUCAUUAUUCGUAUUUUUUUACUUCUUUUCUUGCAUGCAGAUGUACAUUACAUUGAAGGGCACAGACAAAUCAUGAGUUGCACAUAAAACUCGUGGUGCCUAGAUCCUGCACACCUUGUUACCUUUGAAAUUAAUUUCAUGGCUUGAGUUAUCUAACAUAUAAAGCCUCCUAGAGUACCCGCUAUCCUGAAGCCUUCGCGUCGCGCAUGCGUUUUCCUUCGCACGAUUUCACUGCGACAGCGAUUUUUACGGUGCUGUCAAAGUCUUGGCCGUUCGUUGUUCGUGACUCCUUCGUUUCGCUUUUCUUGUAUGAUAGGUGGGCCUCAAUUGCCCUCGGGCCCAGCAUUCUGGUGUGGCCUGUGUGUGUGCUGGGUGAGAAAAGGAGGAGAAUGGGGGUGGAUCGUGGUGCGAGGUGAAAACUCAGCCACCAAUCCCCCACGUCUCCGAGCAACCAAUCCAGGCCCCGCUCCCCUCCCUCUCCACCGUGCCGCCUCCUCCCCUUCUGCCCUGCUCUCCACCACAUCUCCUCUCCUCCCCUUUACUGUCCUCUCCGGCGGCGGCGCCAAUCUGCGGGCAAAGGGAGACGGCGGGGGCGCCAAUCUGUAGGCAAAGGGAGACGGCGGCAGCGCUCGAUUCAAUCUGCGGAAGAGAGAAGAUGGAGGGAGAGAGAGAAGGGGAAGAGAGGAGGGAGAAAGAGAGAGUAAAGAGGAGAGAGAGGUGAGGCGGCUGGCAGAUAGGGUCACCGGAAGGAGCGCCCGCUUUUCUUUCCGGCGGUAGCGCCGACCUGCAGGCAAAGGGAGAAGAUGAGAGGGAGAGAGAGAAGGAAGGAGAGGGGGGAGAAAGAGAGAGGAAAGAGGAGGGAGGUGUGGUGGAGGACGGGAGAGGGUCACCAGAAGGAGUGCCUUUCGAGGUCGUGCGCCGGCCGGAGCAGCAGGAGCAAGGAUCUGGCGGCCUCUGCCUCCCCGUUGCACGCCAGCACCGCAUCUCCUUCAUAUUUUAUUUUCAGUUUUCACAUGUUGAGCUAUAGGUUGGCUUGAUCUCUUGUGUUAGGGACGUGUGAGGUUGAACGACUGAAAAUUGUUACAGAACUUUCCCUAUGGCCGGUCUGUUUCACAAUUGUCUUAUCAUAAUGCUAAAGAAGUCUCUUUUUUGCAGGAAGCCUUCCGAUCUGUGGAGAAUAUUCAUGGCUUGGUGAACAUGGUUAAGAGAACUCCAAAACCAUCUGUCAUUGUCUUAUAUUAUGCCAAACUAACUGAAAUAUCCUGAAUAUCCGAGUCACUUGUAUCAUGCGUAUGCAUCGCUGAAGCUUUUCAUCUUGCAAAAGAGCUACAAUAAAAAAAUAACUCAGAAGUGACCUUUUCAAUUUCUCCCUCGUAUCCAAGUGUGACAAUAGAGAAAUGGUUUCUAGAGCUCGCCGUGGAUCCUUUUUUGGCUGCUGUGAUUUUUUUAACAUGCUGCCAAAAUGUUCAAUGUCUCUGUUAUCACAUGGAUUUAGUCUUCCAAUGCAUUCUCGUCGAACAAUGUAGGAUGUGAGCUUCUUCGGCUUCUUCCAGCGGCCCGGCCAUGACGUCCUCAAGCCGCCGACGCUCAGAGUGACAUCAAUGGCCCUCUCCCAAGCUGCACUGCUCCUGAUCUUCAUCGCCUCACACUGUUGUGCUCCGCACAGUUCAGCCUGACCAUGAUGUUCUCAAGCCGCCGAUGGUCACAACACACGUGGCGACCCGCUCCCAAGCUGUGUUGCUUUUCCAUCAGCGCUGACAAACUUAGUUUGUUUUUGAAUGUGGGCAUCAGGUCUCCGAGUCGUUUAAAUCUGAACGCAAGACCAAGGCUACUAGCCUGAGCAUUGCGGAACAAAGCAGGAAAGCAUUUGCUGAACUUAAUAAAAGCAAGCAUGGAAUUUAAGUAGGUUCAGGGUGUGGUGGACAAGGACGCCUCUGCCACAGCACCUGCAUCUUCAUCUCUGCCAUGUGUCUUCUGAUUACCACAGUAACACAAUUUUCUUACUCAUGCUUUGCGCUUAGUAUAUUUCUUCACUCUGAAAAGUUAACUUUUGUUGGUUGCACGUCAAGUAACAAAGGUAAUACUUUUUUGUUGCUUCAUUGGCAUGGUUAGUUUUACAUCAUUUACUAAGUUGAAAGCAGUUGAGAUGUAUGCCUUAAUAUCUGUUGUUUUGUUGCGUGUUGCUAUUCCUUGAGGCCACUCCAAGAUGAUCGUUAUUUCUUAUGCAGACAAAUAAUUGCUGUAACAUGAUUACAUUUACUGAUUGGCGUAGCUGUACUUUUGGAUGGCAGUGUUCAUAGCUUAGUGGCAGUGUUUUAGAUGUCUUUUUUUCCUGUAUCCUAUUGGUGCCUUUGGAAAUUAAGAAUUACUUUCUUUUUAGGAUUCUUGCCGGAGGAGACGAACUUUUAUGGAUUCUUGCUGGAGGAGAUGAACUUUUUUGGUGUGUUUUUUCCCCUGUAUGCGUCGCUUCAGAUCAGGCUGAUGCUGUUGUUAUUAUGGAUGAGCUGUUGAAGGCCAAGGUUUUCCUUGUGAGAAUGCCAUAGGUACAAGAAAAGAUUGCCUGAAAGGUCUUUAUGGUUUAUUCUGCAAGGUUAGAGGCCUGCUGAGGCUAGCGUGAGGUCUGCUAUGGCAUCGAUGAUCUGGGUGUCAUGACUGUGAGGACUGCUCGCGCCUCUCCGCUCACAAACCGUGUGACAGAGUAAAUACUCUGGUCCACAACAAUUAGACCUUCCUCCCUCUCAGCUAUGGUAUUGCAGCACAACAAUCUCCUUCCACCUUCAUUUGUUGGGCUAGAGCGUUAGAAGACAUUCUAAUUUUCUAGCUAUAUUUUGCAAUGUUAGACUGGUCAAAUGUGUUUGUAUAUGGUCGCAGUGGCGUGAGCUUUUUCAUUACUUGAUCUGUUUAUUCAAACUCAAUUUUUCUGUUGUUGUGGAGAGGAGGAUCAUCUGCUCUUUCAUACAUAUUUAUUACCUUCACUAUGAUCAUGGUAUCGAUUAAACUAUUUCUAAAUAAGCUUCUCCAUCAAACAUGUCCUAAUUAUGUCUUUCAAGCUGGGGGUUGCUCACCCAACCUUUCAUGGAAAAAUGGCAAUCUGUUCACUUUGUGAUCAUUUAUUUAUUUUAAGUUGCCUAGGAAAGUUGGACAGACAUAAAACUUGGUCCAGGAACUCCUGGAUAUUGCAAUGUGUACUCUGUUUUCAUCUGAAUUUAUUAGUUGCUAGAGGUUGUACCUUUGACGUGGACCAUAAAUUGUCCAUUUGAGCUGAACUUUCUCCAGAGGAGAAAGUCCCGAUGCAAGCUGCCAUGUUUCUUAGCUGUAAUUUCUUUUACCAUCGUCUGAAGAAUUUCUUCCUACCUGUUUGCUAGGCCUGACCAGUAUUCAAGCACCCUAGCCUUUUUUUCCCUUGGCAAGAAACCUUGGCAGGUGCUAUGAGGUACAGAAGCUGGAGAGAUAGUUCCGAAACUCCUUGAGGGCUUGGAGGGUUUAGGGUGUUUGAAAAUGAGACCCAAAUAAAAUUCUUUUCCAUGUCGUUGUUCUGCUGGAACUGUUAUUCUUAUUUCUCUCGUCAACAAUGGAUAUUGUGCCACAAAGUGCCCAGGCAGCUGGAAGCACACAUAAAACCAUCGAUGCUCCUUUCCGUAGGAGAAAUAAGUGAACGGACAAUCUUUUCAUCUUUGUAUAAAUUCAGAUGUGAUUAGCCAAGUCCAGAAGAUUUGGUCUACUUCUCACUAAAUCCCAUCUGUUCUUCAGAUAAUACUUUUUCUUUGAGUUCAGACGCGAUUAGCCUUCAUGAUGCAUGGAUGCAAAUUUGGACAGUUGGAUUCUUGAUGUGCACAUAAAUACAUUGAGAAGAUGGAACUAGAAUUAAACUUCCGUCCAACUGCAGGUCAAGGUUAGAGUGGUUCUGCAACUAUUUCCAUCUGAAAAGAUAUACUUUGCAGCAUCCUGUAUGAUACGUAUAUGCUUGCAGAGGCGUCCGAGCUGUCGAGGUGAGCAGUGGUGGACAACUAUAUAGUGUGUCCUCUUCUUCCUCGACGGUGCCUCCGUGCUUUCCCAUGUCGCCUCACCAGCCACCACCAACAGCAGUGUAUUGAUCUAUGGCGGGCAAGACCAAAGCACUGCAGCCGCCCGAGGGGCGCCCAAGGCCAAGCCUACACUAGCAGCGGCGAUGACGGAGGCGGAGGCGAAGGAGCUCCCCAAGGCCAUCGCGUGGCAGCUGGUCCAGGACAAGCUCGCCUGGGUUGCCGUGGCCGGCGCCGGCGAAGGAGGAGGGUGGAGGUGUGGUGGACAAGGACGCCAUGGCCGCCUUCGCCACUGCCUCUCUACCACUUCAGAAUAUCACUAUAUCUUCAUCCCUGCCUCUCUGCCACUUCAGAAUAAUAGUUGACGUUUUCACCAUAAAUCUGUGUACUGCAGCAUUUUUAUAGAUACUCUCUGUAAAUAAAAUCUUUUUUUCUUUAAGGGUUCAUAUAUAACUCUGUUACAACAUUGAACUAAAUCCUGAAUUCCUGAUCCUUCCUUGUGUAGCCUUAUCUCAGACAUACGUAACUGAAAAUAAAGCUAUGCACAGAGAAAAGGUGUAGACUCGGUUGCUGGGCAUGAACUCCGGCAUAGACUACUUUAGUUUUCUUCCAGUAAAGGAGAUGUCGAAUGAGGUGUUCUUCUAAGCUUAUAAGGGAAUAUAUGCACUACCAUUGGAGUAGCAAUUUUAGUUCUCAAAUUGUAGUAUUAAAUUAUAUGUGCCAGGAUUAGCAUAGUGAAAAGUGAUAUGCCUCCUAUAUGACCGACUCAUAGACUUAUCUAAAAACUGGAUCCUAUGCUCUGCACCCUUCUUUUGCUUCGUGCCAUUAUUUACUGAUAACUGUUCUCACUAUCUAUAUUUAAACCUUCUCAGUGUAAGAGUGACAAGACACUCUCCUAUCCAUUCAAUUGAUUCCUUUUUUCUUAUCAUUAUUUUCAGGUCAACUACACUAAAAGCAAACUAAAAGAUUCAGAUUAUAAUACGCUCAAGGUCAGGCUUGCAAACAGUGAUCUACACGCCAAUUGUCGCAUCAUGCUAGGAACCGACAAGAGAGCCACCGUGACAACCAACUGGUCUGAGUUCCGCCGCCUUUCAAAAAUCCAUGAAGUAGACUUCUGUACCUUUCGUUUCAAGGUCACCACAAAGCAGCGCCUGGUUCUCAUCGUGCAUUGCCUUUAGAUGAACCAUCAACAACAACGGAAAUCGUAUCUAAAUAUCAUCUAGCAUUUAUGCAGCAACACAGAUUGUGCUAGGCGUGAUGGAAGGUGAUGCUCAGAGAAACUUGUCGAGAUGCUCUACCUGAUGAUGAUUUUAUUGUUUUGUUUGUUCAACAGUAUGUAGCGACACAGAUUGUGCUAGGCAUAAUGGAAGGUGGUGCUCAGGUAACAAAACGGAAACAUGCUUCUCUUUGAAACCGUGCCAAGGCAAUUGCAUUCUUGUUAUUAUUUGGUGUAUACUAUUUAAAAUAGGAAGGAAAGCCAACACAUACUUUUGUUUCCAUUCUCAAAUCGUACCAGUAAGAAGAUUUAUUUUGGAUGAAGAAAAAACUCUGCCAUGCUUGUGUUGAUUUAAAAAGAAUUUUGAUAAUGGCCUGUGCUAAUCACUAAUUUUUAUAUCUUUCUAAGAGGGCUCCCGCCGUUUACAUUAAAUGUUUUCUCUGGUGAAGCGACAACUAUGUUUCCACGUUGAAAUCAGUUCUACAACAGCCAAGGAUGGGGCAUCGCACCGACGACAGUGAACUGUAAUGAGGGUGAGAUGCCGAUGUCUGCGCCGGCGCCAGAGACCGUGACCACAACUCGGGGGCGAGGUGGCGGUGUCAUCGGCAUUGCCAGUGUUGGCCCCUUGAGUUUUGGACCUGCCGAGCUCUGGUUCUGGAAGCUGCCAAUCCCAUCGAGCCCCUCCAGCAGCCUUCAGUAUACAGUUGAGGAGAAUUUAUAAGCGAGUGGAUCAUAUGUACUCUUUUUAUGAUGCAUCUCUGACCAUGCAGUUUCUGGGCCUCACAGAGAAGGUCAAGAAGGAAGAGCUUGUCAAGUCUGCAAUCGAGGAUUUUUCUGUCAGGCUCUGUUGGUGGACGCGAGAGACAUCUGGAUAGAAAGUUCGACUCUUCCUUACUAGAGCCAUAUGACCAAAAAGAUGAGGCUCUUUCCAAGCAUACAAGCAUAAGAUAUGUUAAUAUUGGGAGAGUGUCUCAUAUACUGCUCGAGGUCGGGAGGGUGCGGAGGCUGCUAGAGGAAGCAUUGGAGGCCGAGCUCAGCAGCAAUGAUGAGCUGCUACUGGUGUUGGACCGGGUACGUCUACGAAGGAACGGGAGUGGGGUGGCUGGUUGUAUCCGCCAGAUUUUUGUGGAUGUGCUUAGCCAAGUUUUGAGAGCAUAUUCAGUAUACCUUGGUUGCCCAUAUGAUUGGUCAUCUCUCAAACAAUGGCACGGCCGCCACCUGAAAAGUGGCUAUCCCUAGCUAGCUGAGGGAUAACCUCAUAACCAAAAAUGCCCCCUUGUUGUGUAUGGUGAAAUUUUGUCCCAUACUAUACACUAUAGAGCUAGAGAAAAGCAACCUAAUAAGCUGAGAUUGUCGAGAAAAUGUGGUUGUCAAAUAGCUGAACUGAAUUGCUCGAAAAAGAGGCAACUACUCUUGUAGCUUUCCAAAAUCUGGAAAACUAAAACAAUUAAACAAGUACUGCUAAUCCAUUGUUUUUCUAA